RNAcentral lists this long non-coding RNA (1273 nucleotides) under Lepisosteus oculatus (spotted gar). RNAcentral's name for it is "lncRNA (ENSLOCG00000021467.1)". The record is from RNAcentral. Lineage: Eukaryota; Metazoa; Chordata; Actinopteri; Semionotiformes; Lepisosteidae.
AUGUGCAGAAGCAAUACAAAAUGCUUAGAUAUCACGUGCAGAAUUGAGAUGGAUACAUGGUGUGUUAAAAUUGUACAAUGCACUAGAAAGUCCUACUCUGGCAGACUCGCAGCACUGAAUUUCUUUCAUCUCAAACAGAGAAGACUGAUACAAGUAUUCAAAAUCUUCAUAAGGACAGCAACCCAUUGGAGUUCUUCAGAAUCCAUGAUGAAACCGGAACCCGGAACCACAGGGGGUCACAAGUGAAAUAUGUGUGCAAGCACGUCUGUGCAGGUACUUCUUUACACAAAGAGGUUGUGGGAGUAUGGACCAUGCCAUCACAGCUAUGGUGUUGAAGCCAAUUCCCUGAAUUCUUUUAAGAAACGCCUGCAAGAGAUGCUCAGAUCAAUUCGCUAAAUGGCUCCUCUCACUGUUUGCCUCUCCCUGUAAACCUCCUUACAGCUCCCUACACUAUGAACCAGGAAGGGCUAUCCCAGGGUGCUCUGGCUUUCAUUAGAACACAGGAACACAAGAAAAGGUGACAAACACCAGUGGGCCAACUGGACUUUUUUGGUCUCUCGUAGCCGACUGAUCCGAGAAUCUCGUCCAGCCAUUUCCUGUAAGGAUUGUGGGGAAUCGGCUCCAACAUCGUGACACGGCAGAGACCUUUCUCCAACCCAGGGCUUAACUGAGCAGCAGAACCAACAGUUCAAGUAGUAAAAUAAGCUGUCCUGUCCGGCCAUUAUCAGUUCUGUAAGAACCUGAUCUCCAGGGGAAACAAAGACACAUCGAGAAAAAGGAAUCAAAGCCAGUUUCUCAGAGGGACUAUGCUCUAAGCUUGGGGUCCCCAGCUCUUUUUCAGCAUCCCAGCUCUAAGCACUGAAAAGAGUCUACAGGAACUGCAUUUACAAAUUAAAGUGUUUCACAUCAGAUAUAACGCUCAUCAUCACUCACUCCAAUGCUAACAACGCAGUUCAACUUUCGUGCAAUAAAACUGCUUUCGAUUUAAAUGAUCUCCUCGACGACGUGCACUGAGGCUGCUGUCCGAUGACUCAGCUCCCGAGUCGUCAUGUUAAGACCUGGCAGACGCGGAAUUUGCAUUUGUUUGUGUUUGCUUGUGUAGCCCGCAGCCCCCGCUGCCCGCCCCGGUCCGGCGUUGCCCGCAGUCCCGCGAGCAGCCCCCAGGCUCCUGCCUCCCGCUGGGCACGCCCGGGUGCGGCGCCUGCCCCUCUCAGUCUCUCAGCAGCAGGUACUGCUGCACGGACUCGGGCAGGGGCAGCUCCUUGACGGCGGC